This is a long non-coding RNA of Nyctereutes procyonoides (raccoon dog), 2446 nucleotides long. RefSeq lists it as uncharacterized. The transcript has 6 exons. Lineage: Eukaryota; Metazoa; Chordata; Mammalia; Carnivora; Canidae. The record is from RefSeq and is a predicted model, not a curated record.
GCCAUUGUGACCCACCAACCUUGAUCCCAUCUCACCGGUUCUGGUUCCGUUUCAAGGCUGCGCCCCGACAGGUGCACUUACCUGGUGAUCACAGCAGGAUUCCGGUUUCCAACGUGGGGGAGCCAGGCCCACACCACCCUGUGCAGCCUGGCGAUUUAAUAGGACUCACUUCUUUCUGGGAGUGCUGUUAGUUAUGCUUUUAUGUAAAUAGGACAAGUUUCUUCCUUUCUUUUUUUUUUUUAAAGGUUUUAUUUAUUUAUUCAUGAGCGACACAGAGAAAGAGAGAGGCAGAGACCCAGGCAGAGGGAGAAGCAGGCUCCAUGCCGGGAGCCCGACAUGGGACACGAUCCCGGGUCUCCAGGAUCACACCAUGGGCUGCAGGCAGCGCUAAACCGCUGAGCCACUGAGGCUGCCCUAUAGGACAAGUUUCUUGUCACCCCUUGUAUCAACUGUCUGUGGCCACAAUAACAGCACCCUGUCCCUUGACUCCCUCUGUCUGGCUGUCUGCGCCCUCGUGUGUCUGCUACCCACGGGAGGGGUCUCACAUACAUGGGGUGCGUGGGCUGGGCUGGGGGCUGGCUGACCCGGCUGGGCUCUGUGGGGCCUCUCAUCCUCCCCCUGGCCAGCCUGGGCUUGUUCUCGCCAUGUCGCAGCGUCCAAGAGAGGAAGUGGGCACCUCUGGAGCCCAGGCGGAGGCUGGUGGCCUGACCUUUACUCCGCAAAGCCGCCCCAGUUCCAGGGGCAGAGACAGACUGUGUCCCUUAAGGGGCUGCAAAGGUGCAUUGACAGGAGCCAGGUUGCAGGGGGGAGAGGUGGGACCUGCCCUCCCGACCUAGGGUAGCAGCUGAGCGACAGAGACAGAGCAGGUGCUGGUGUCCCCAUCAGCGUCUGGGAGGACAGGCAUGUGCGUGCGUGUGCGUGCAGAUACAAGCCCGUUUCCAACGUGUCUCGUUUGUGUUCCUGUCAACACCCCCGGCAUGCCUUGCGACGGCCAGCACCUGAGCACGCAUGGGAGUUGGGGCAGGAGCUCCCGCCCGGAGUCUGCAGCCGCCAGCAGAGUGUGGUCCAGGAGAGACCCUGAGAUGCUGGCGCGUGACCUUGCAGAAUGCUGCGUCCGUCCCCUGCUCUGGAGUGACUGUUCUCUGUGACAGGAUCCUAUGAGGACCCGCGGGCAUGUGGGCCACGAUGGGGCACCCGGUCCCCACUCCGUGGACUUGGCCAAGCUCCGGUUUAUGGCUGAGACCCUCGACCCGGAAGACAAUUCUGUAGGGAAAGAGAUGGUGACGCCUCCAGUUCCUCCAUGAACACUGAUGACCUGACGUUUGCGUCUGUCGCGCCGAGCGGACGCCGCGGAGAAGGUGCCAGGUGCUCGGCCGCCCUCGGAGCCCGGGCGCGGGACGUCCUUCUCGGAAGCACCAGCGGCCCCACACAGAUCGACGCCAGCUGCUCGCUGACAGGUUCCCGGGGAGCACGUUUGGCUUCCUGUGCAAACACGGGAAUACCUGAUUCCAAACGUGGAUCAAGACCUAUUGGAAGAAGGACAGCGGUUGGGUGGCCGGUCGCGAUUGUGCCUCCUGCGGCCGUGGAUCCCCGGAGAAGCGUGUCCCGUUUUGUCCUCGGGCUGCACGUGGGGUGGGGGAGUCUCACCUGCAGGUUUUCUGGGACACCUGGAUGGUCCUAGCAACGUCUCUCCUCCCUCCCGGGCUUGCUGCGGCUCUCGGGCGGUCCGGGCCGCAGGACGCGGAGAGAGCGACUGGGUGUCCUGACGUCCAGGGUAAGGACGCAUCCAGGAUGGGGCUCAGGUCUGCACGCGGGACCCUUCUCGUCUGCCUCCUCCGGCGGCACACAGCCUCGGUAAAGGGCUGCCUCAGGCCUGGAGCGCUCAGGGCACCGAGCCAGGCUCUUUCCCUGCACCAGAGCCUCACAGCAAAGCUGACUAGCGACUGAGACCCCAUUUGCAGGCAGGACACGGGUUCAGAGAGGGUUCUAUUUACUUGUUAGAGAGAACGCAAGCAGGAGUCGGGGCAGAGGCAGAGGAAGAAGCAGGCGCCUCGCUGAGCAGGGAGCCCGAUGCAGGACUGGAUCCCGGGACCCCGGACCAGACGGCGUAACCGACCCAGCCACCCAGACAGAGAAGCCGUGAGUGGGUGACGAGUGGGCCGCAAAGAGGGGUCUGUGUGAAGGGCGUCGCGACGAGGGACGGGUUCGUUUGUACGGAUUUCCUACCCGCGUUUCCUGUCUCUGUGAAAACCCUGAACGUUGGGCUCUUAGGACAAGAGGUGUUGUUCCAGCAGCGUCGGCGGCUGAUUUCAUCAGAGCGGAGCCCGGGGAAGACCGUGGAAAUGAGCGCUGCCGGGAGGUAGGGAGCCUCAGGGGGACCGCGGGCCUUCCACCCUGUUUCUGAGCGAGUGCACCCCGGACACAUCGCUCGGCGCUCGCAUCACCA